CAAUAGCGUAUAUUAAAGUUGCUGCAGUUAAAAAGCUCGUAGUUGAAUUUUUGCUUGCCGCCGAUGUCGGAACUUCCGUACGUUCGGCGGCGUGCAUCCUUGGGUGGAACCUGUGUGGCAUUAGGUUGUCGUGCAGGGGAUGCUCAUCGUUUACUGUGAAAAAAUUAGAGUGUUCAAAGCAGGCUUACGCCGUUGAAUAUAUUAGCAUGGAAUAAUAAGAUAGGACCUUGGUACUAUUUUGUUGGUUUGCGCACCGAGGUAAUGAUUAACAGGGACAGUUGGGGGUAUUCGUAUUCCAUUGUCAGAGGUGAAAUUCUUGGAUUUCUGGAAGACGAACUACUGCGAAAGCAUUUACCAAGGAUGUUUUCAUUAA
Molecule: ribosomal RNA, 373 nt
Filed under: uncultured eukaryote
Lineage: Eukaryota
Description: partial 18S ribosomal RNA
Rfam family: Eukaryotic small subunit ribosomal RNA
Source: RNAcentral